GAUGAACGCUGGCGGCGUGCCUAAUACAUGCAAGUCGAGCGAACGGACGAGAAGCUUGCUUCUCUGAUGUUAGCGGCGGACGGGUGAGUAACACGUGGAUAACCUACCUAUAAGACUGGGAUAACUUCGGGAAACCGGAGCUAAUACCGGAUAAUAUUUUGAACCGCAUGGUGCAAAAGUGAAAGACGGUCUUGCUGUCACUUCUAGAUGGAUCCGCGCUGCAUUAGCUAGUUGGUAAGGUAACGGCUUACCAAGGCAACGAUGCAUAGCCGACCUGAGAGGGUGAUCGGCCACACUGGAACUGAGACACGGUCCAGACUCCUACGGGAGGCAGCAGUAGGGAAUCUUCCGCAAUGGGCGAAAGCCUGACGGAGCAACGCCGCGUGAGUGAUGAAGGUCUUCGGAUCGUAAAACUCUGUUAUUAGGGAAGAACAUAUGUGUAAGUAACUGUGCACAUCUUGACGGUACCUAAUCAGAAAGCCACGGCUAACUACGUG
This 497-nucleotide ribosomal RNA is filed under the name uncultured bacterium. Its description in RNAcentral is "partial 16S ribosomal RNA". It matches the Rfam family "Bacterial small subunit ribosomal RNA", at positions 28 to 507 of the family's 1533-position model. The record is from RNAcentral.